RNAcentral lists this ribosomal RNA (253 nucleotides) under uncultured bacterium. RNAcentral describes it as "partial 16S ribosomal RNA". It matches the Rfam family "Bacterial small subunit ribosomal RNA", at positions 524 to 776 of the family's 1533-position model. The record is from RNAcentral.
UACGUAGGGUGCAAGCGUUGUCCGGAAUUAUUGGGCGUAAAGAGCUCGUAGGCGGUCUGUCGCAUCUGCUGUGAAAACUCGGGGCUUAACCCCGGGCCUGCAGUGGGUACGGGCAGACUAGAGUGCGGUAGGGGAGACUGGAAUUCCUGGUGUAGCGGUGAAAUGCGCAGAUAUCAGGAGGAACACCGGUGGCGAAGGCGGGUCUCUGGGCCGUAACUGACGCUGAGGAGCGAAAGCGUGGGUAGCGAACAGG